RNAcentral lists this ribosomal RNA (525 nucleotides) under uncultured bacterium. RNAcentral's name for it is "partial 16S ribosomal RNA". It matches the Rfam family "Bacterial small subunit ribosomal RNA", at positions 355 to 896 of the family's 1533-position model. The record is from RNAcentral.
UGGGGAAUAUUGGACAAUGGGGGCAACCCUGAUCCAGCAAUGCCGCGUGUGUGAAGAAGGUCUUCGGAUUGUAAAGCACUUUCGACGGGGACGAUGAUGACGGUACCCGUAGAAGAAGCCCCGGCUAACUUCGUGCCAGCAGCCGCGGUAAUACGAAGGGGGCUAGCGUUGCUCGGAAUGACUGGGCGUAAAGGGCGUGUAGGCGGUUUACACAGUCAGAUGUGAAAUCCCCGGGCUUAACCUGGGAGCUGCAUUUGAUACGUGUAGACUAGAGUGUGAGAGAGGGUUGUGGAAUUCCCAGUGUAGAGGUGAAAUUCGUAGAUAUUGGGAAGAACACCGGUGGCGAAGGCGGCAACCUGGCUCAUGACUGACGCUGAGGCGCGAAAGCGUGGGGAGCAAACAGGAUUAGAUACCCUGGUAGUCCACGCUGUAAACGAUGUGUGCUAGAUGUUGGGUAACUUUGUUACUCAGUGUCGCAGUUAACGCGUUAAAGCACACCGCCUGGGGAGUACGGCCGCAAGGUUG